AACCUCAGUCAAUUUAAUACCCUAAAGGUCUCUGUUUUAUUACAUGAUCCUAGAGGCAGACACAUAUGUACAGCUUUUCUAAGUGCAUAAGUAGACUCCUGUUUCUCUUCAGACGAUUGGAGUGGACCAACUUUCAUAGUUCUCAAUAUGUCAUCUUAUUUUUUUCCUAGAGAAUGGGUGAUUUAACUAUUUAUUCAAAACAAAACAAACAAACAGACAAAACCUGGGGACAUAAUGCAGCUUUGAGCGCUACAAUAUUGAGGCUUAUUCUUUGCGGUCAAAAAUUCUGAGGUUAUGGGGGAUCUUAUGAAGAUGUGUGACAGAUGACAGUCAUCUUGAGACACUUUAUCUCAAAGGAGGCAGUAUCUGUAAUCUUCAGGAAAACCUUUUUAAUCUGAGCUCUGAGAAGCUCCAACAUGGAAAGAAGAAGAGAUCAACUGAGGUUGAACUGCAAGAGCUGAAAGAAACCUACUCCAGACCCUCCAGAAUAUCCAAGUCACGAUCAAGAUUAUGGCUGACAGCAGGCUCUCAUGCAAAAUGAAGGCCCUGAAGGUGAAAAAUGAGCACAAUUCUUUAUAAAAGGGGAAGUAUUAGGAGAUUUGCUCAGGGCACUUACCUCUCUAAACUUAGUUUCAUUAUUUGAAAAUCAGGAUAAUAAUCUCAAGCUUGUAGUAGGGUUGAUAGAAUUAAGCAAGAGAACCUUUAUAAAUGCUUUGAAAGGGUGCCUGACACAUAUCAGGCACUUAAUAAAAUUUUAAUUUUCUAGUUUUAAAAAAGACAGACUUUGACCUUGGAUACAAUAAUCAAAAAGCCUAGAGUUCUACUUACUCUAAAGAGAAGUCUUUACUUAGAAGCCAGCAUUUUCUAACUACGUCUCUGGUAAUAAUGUCUGAAUUGAUCUUUGGCUCUACUGUCUCCUAUUUUUUUUUUUUUUUAUAGACAGAUUCUUGCUCCACUGCCCAGGUUGGAGUGCAGCGACACAAUCAUAGCUCACUGCAGCCUCCAACUAUUGAGCU
Sapajus apella (tufted capuchin) is the source of this 1016-nucleotide long non-coding RNA. RefSeq lists it as uncharacterized. The record is from RefSeq and is a predicted model, not a curated record. The transcript has 3 exons. Lineage: Eukaryota; Metazoa; Chordata; Mammalia; Primates; Cebidae.